UAUUCAAAGACAGUAACUUUAGAGGGAUUUUCAGUUGCUAUGACACAGUUGCUUGGAAUUAAUCUGGGAUUGACAUAUGAUGACAUCUACAACUGUAACUGUCCAGGAGCUACAUGCGUAAUGAAUUCUAAGGCAAUAUACAUAAAAGAGGACAUGUUUGCAGGAAAAGCAUAGAUCUGUGUGGUUUUACAGAAUAUUACAAUGGAACAUCUGAGUUUUGUGUACCUGAUGUGAAAUCUGCUGAUUAUGAGCUAUGCAAUAAGACUGCCUAUUGUCUUAGAGGAAUAUUCCAAGAUAGGGAUGGACAGUGCAUGCAAUUAUUUGGACAAUUUGCUCAGGGUGCUCCUUAUCUGUGUUCACAAGAAGUGAAUUUGCAUGCCAACAAUUUUGGAAACUGUAAAACUAGUUCCUAUAAUUUCGAACGUGUCCUUUGUGCAAAGCUAGUUUGUCACUGGAAAAGUACAGAACUAAUACGACAUAAAGAUGAUGAUGCUUAAUAUACUUACCUUGGAAACCAUGUAUGUGUGUCUACAUUUUUACGAAAUUCAUGUGGUAGCAUAAAGGAUAACUCCUAUGUAAAAAAUGGUACUUUUUGUGGUCUAGAAAAGUUAUGUGAUAAUGGAGUUUGCCAACUUGUGAGCACAUAUGCAGAUAGAAGACAAGGUAACUCGGAAGAAAAAUGCGGUGGACAUGGGGUUUGCAAUACUCUGAAUAAUUGUCAACGUGAUGUUGCAUAUUCUCCUUAAACUUGUAGGCAAGAUAGUUCAUCACCAGGAGGAAGUAUUGAUGAUGGGUUUUGGAUUUGAAAAAGUACACCCUUGUUUGUGAAAUGACAUGCUGUUCCUCAGAAAAACGGCCUUUAAUCAGUUGCUACAUUUUUCUACCUUUCCUCAUUUUAACUGCCAUCAUUGGUCUUAAAUGGAACAAAAUGAAGAGAUUUUGGCACUGAGCAAAAAGUGUAAGUGGAAG
Molecule: small RNA, 969 nt
Filed under: Pan troglodytes (chimpanzee)
Lineage: Eukaryota; Metazoa; Chordata; Mammalia; Primates; Hominidae
Description: transcribed unitary pseudogene
Source: RNAcentral